CGAGCGCGGGAAGCGAGCUGAUCCCUUCGGGGUGACGCUCGUGGAACGAGCGGCGGACGGGUGAGUAACACGUGGGCAACCUGCCUGUAAGAUCGGGAUAACUCCGGGAAACCGGGGCUAAUACCGGGUAAUACUUUCUUUCGCAUGAAGGAAAGUUGAAAGAUGGCUUCUCGCUAUCACUUACAGAUGGGCCCGCGGCGCAUUAGCUAGUUGGUGAGGUAACGGCUCACCANGGCGACGAUGCGUAGCCGACCUGAGAGGGUGAUCGGCCACACUGGGACUGAGACACGGCCCAGACUCCUACGGGAGGCAGCAGUAGGGAAUCUUCCGCAAUGGACGAAAGUCUGACGGAGCAACGCCGCGUGAACGAUGAAGGUCUUCGGAUCGUAAAGUUCUGUUGUUAGGGAAGAACAAGUACCGUGCGAAUAGAGCGGUACCUUGACGGUACCUAACGAGGAAGCCCCGGCUAACUACGUGCCAGCAGCCGCGGUAAUACGUAGGGGGCAAGCGUUGUCCGGAAUUAUUGGGCGUAAAGCGCGCGCAGGCGGUUCCUUAAGUCUGAUGUGAAAGCCCACGGCUCACCCGUGGAGGGUCAUUGGAAACUGGGGAACUUGAGGACAGAAGAGGAGAGUGGAAUUCCACGUGUAGCGGUGAAAUGCGUAUAUAUGUGGAGGAACACCAGUGGCGAAGGCGACUCUCUGGUCUGUUUCUGACGCUGAGGUGCGAAAGCGUGGGUAGCAAACAGGAUUAGAUACCCUGGUAGUCCACGCCGUAAACGAUGAGUGCUAGGUGUUAGGGGGCUUCCACCCCUUAGUGCUGAAGUA
Molecule: ribosomal RNA, 824 nt
Filed under: bacterium MVI.17
Lineage: Bacteria
Description: bacterial SSU rRNA
Rfam family: Bacterial small subunit ribosomal RNA
Source: RNAcentral